AGAUUAAGUUAUUAAGGGCGCACGGUGGAUGCCUUGGCACUAGAAGCCGAUGAAGGACGUUACUAACGACGAUAUGCUUUGGGGAGCUGUAAGUAAGCUUUGAUCCAGAGAUUUCCGAAUGGGGAAACCCAGCAUGAGUUAUGUCAUGUUAUCGAUAUGUGAAUACAUAGCAUAUCAGAAGGCACACCCGGAGAACUGAAACAUCUUAGUACCCGGAGGAAGAGAAAGAAAAUUCGAUUCCCUUAGUAGCGGCGAGCGAAACGGGAAGAGCCCAAACCAACAAGCUUGCUUGUUGGGGUUGUAGGACACUCUAUACGGAGUUACAAAGGACGACAUUAGACGAAUCAUCUGGAAAGAUGAAUCAAAGAAGGUAAUAAUCCUGUAGUCGAAAAUGUUGUCUCUCUUGAGUGGAUCCUGAGUACGACGGAGCACGUGAAAUUCCGUCGGAAUCUGGGAGGACCAUCUCCUAAGGCUAAAUACUCUCUAGUGACCGAUAGUGAACCAGUACCGUGAGGGAAAGGUGAAAAGCACCCCGGAAGGGGAGUGAAAUAGAACCUGAAACCGUGUGCUUACAAGUAGUCAGAGCCCGUUAAUGGGUGAUGGCGUGCCUUUUGUAGAAUGAACCGGCGAGUUACGAUUUGAUGCAAGGUUAAGCAGUAAAUGUGGAGCCGUAGCGAAAGCGAGUCUGAAUAGGGCGUUUAGUAUUUGGUCGUAGACCCGAAACCAGGUGAUCUACCCUUGGUCAGGUUGAAGUUCAGGUAACACUGAAUGGAGGACCGAACCGACUUACGUUGAAAAGUGAGCGGAUGAACUGAGGGUAGCGGAGAAAUUCCAAUCGAACCUGGAGAUAGCUGGUUCUCUCCGAAAUAGCUUUAGGGCUAGCCUCAAGUGAUGAUUAUUGGAGGUAGAGCACUGUUUGGACGAGGGGCCCCUCUCGGGUUACCGAAUUCAGACAAACUCCGAAUGCCAAUUAAUUUAACUUGGGAGUCAGAACAUGGGUGAUAAGGUCCGUGUUCGAAAGGGAAACAGCCCAGACCACCAGCUAAGGUCCCAAAAUAUAUGUUAAGUGGAAAAGGAUGUGGCGUUGCCCAGACAACUAGGAUGUUGGCUUAGAAGCAGCCAUCAUUUAAAGAGUGCGUAAUAGCUCACUAGUCGAGUGACACUGCGCCGAAAAUGUACCGGGGCUAAACAUAUUACCGAAGCUGUGGAUUGUCCUUUGGACAAUGGUAGGAGAGCGUUCUAAGGGCGUUGAAGCAUGAUCGUAAGGACAUGUGGAGCGCUUAGAAGUGAGAAUGCCGGUGUGAGUAGCGAAAGACGGGUGAGAAUCCCGUCCACCGAUUGACUAAGGUUUCCAGAGGAAGGCUCGUCCGCUCUGGGUUAGUCGGGUCCUAAGCUGAGGCCGACAGGCGUAGGCGAUGGAUAACAGGUUGAUAUUCCUGUACCACCUAUAAUCGUUUUAAUCGAUGGGGGGACGCAGUAGGAUAGGCGAAGCGUGCGAUUGGAUUGCACGUCUAAGCAGUAAGGCUGAGUAUUAGGCAAAUCCGGUACUCAUUAAGGCUGAGCUGUGAUGGGGAGAAGACAUUGUGUCUUCGAGUCGUUGAUUUCACACUGCCGAGAAAAGCCUCUAGAUAGAAAAUAGGUGCCCGUACCGCAAACCGACACAGGUAGUCAAGAUGAGAAUUCUAAGGUGAGCGAGCGAACUCUCGUUAAGGAACUCGGCAAAAUGACCCCGUAACUUCGGGAGAAGGGGUGCUCUUUAGGGUUAACGCCCAGAAGAGCCGCAGUGAAUAGGCCCAAGCGACUGUUUAUCAAAAACACAGGUCUCUGCUAAACCGUAAGGUGAUGUAUAGGGGCUGACGCCUGCCCGGUGCUGGAAGGUUAAGAGGAGUGGUUAGCAUUAGCGAAGCUACGAAUCGAAGCCCCAGUAAACGGCGGCCGUAACUAUAACGGUCCUAAGGUAGCGAAAUUCCUUGUCGGGUAAGUUCCGACCCGCACGAAAGGCGUAACGAUUUGGGCACUGCCUCAACGAGAGACUCGGUGAAAUCAUAGUACCGGUGAAGAUGCCGGUUACCCGCGACAGGACGGAAAGACCCCGUGGAGCUUUACUGUAGCCUGAUAUUGAAAUU
RNAcentral lists this ribosomal RNA (2126 nucleotides) under Staphylococcus aureus. Its description in RNAcentral is "bacterial LSU rRNA". It matches the Rfam family "Bacterial large subunit ribosomal RNA", at positions 1 to 2124 of the family's 2925-position model. Lineage: Bacteria; Bacillati; Bacillota; Bacilli; Caryophanales; Staphylococcaceae. The record is from RNAcentral.